This 467-nucleotide ribosomal RNA is filed under the name uncultured bacterium. Its description in RNAcentral is "partial 16S ribosomal RNA". It matches the Rfam family "Bacterial small subunit ribosomal RNA", at positions 28 to 507 of the family's 1533-position model. The record is from RNAcentral.
GACGAACGCUGGCGGCGUGCUUAACACAUGCAAGUCGAACGGAAAGGCUCCAGCUUGCUGGCGUACUCGAGUGGCGAACGGGUGAGUAACACGUGGGUAAUCUGCCCUGCACUCUGGGAUAAGCCUGGGAAACUGGGUCUAAUACUGGAUAUGAUCUUUUUCCUUAUGGGGUUUGGUGGAAAGUUUUUCGGUGUAGGAUGAGCCCGCGGCCUAUCAGCUUGUUGGUGGGGUGUUGGCCUACCAAGGCGACGACGGGUAGCCGUCCUGAGAGGGUGAUCGGCCACAUUGGGACUGAGAUACGGCCCAGACGCCUACGGGAGGCAGCAGGGGGGAAUAUUGCACAAUGGGCGGAAGCCUGAUGCAGCGACGCCGCGUGAGGGAUGACGGCCUUCGAGUUGUAAACCUCUUUCAGCGGAGACGAAGCGUAAGUGACGGUACCUACAGAAGAAGCACCGGCUAACUAUGUG